RNAcentral lists this ribosomal RNA (166 nucleotides) under uncultured bacterium. RNAcentral's name for it is "partial 16S ribosomal RNA". It matches the Rfam family "Bacterial small subunit ribosomal RNA", at positions 1334 to 1500 of the family's 1533-position model. The record is from RNAcentral.
GCUAGUAAUCGCGGAUCAGAAUGCCGCGGUGAAUACGUUCCCGGGUCUUGUACACACCGCCCGUCACACCAUGGGAGUCGGAAAUGCCCGAAGUCUGUGACCCAACCUUAGGGAGGGAGCAGCCGAAGGCAGGUCGGAUGACUGGGUGAAGUCGUAACAAGGUAUC